CUUCCGAUGGCGACCGGCGCACGGGUGAGUAACACGUAUCCAACCUGCCGAUAACUCGGGGAUAGCCUUUCGAAAGAAAGAUUAAUAUCCGAUAGGAUAUCAAGAUCGCAUGACCUUGAUAUUAAAGAAUUUCGGUUAUCGAUGGGGAUGCGUUCCAUUAGUUAGUUGGCGGGGUAACGGCCCACCAAGACGACGAUGGAUAGGGGUUCUGAGAGGAAGGUCCCCCACAUUGGAACUGAGACACGGUCCAAACUCCUACGGAAGGCAGCAG
This 271-nucleotide ribosomal RNA is filed under the name uncultured bacterium. RNAcentral's name for it is "partial 16S ribosomal RNA". It matches the Rfam family "Bacterial small subunit ribosomal RNA", at positions 82 to 354 of the family's 1533-position model. The record is from RNAcentral.